GAUGAACGCUGGCGGCGUGCCUAAUACAUGCAAGUCGAGCGAACAGACGAGGAGCUUGCUCCUCUGACGUUAGCGGCGGACGGGUGAGUAACACGUGGAUAACCUACCUAUAAGACUGGGAUAACUUCGGGAAACCGGAGCUAAUACCGUAUAAUAUAUUGAACCGCAUGGUUCAAUAGUGAAAGACGGUUUUGCUGUCACUUAUAGAUGGAUCCGCGCCGCAUUAGCUAGUUGGUAAGGUAACGGCUUACCAAGGCAACGAUGCGUAGCCGACCUGAGAGGGUGAUAGGCCACACUGGAGCUGAGACACGGUCCAGACUCCUACGGGAGGCAGCAGUAGGGAAUCUUCCGCAAUGGGCGAAAGCCUGACGGAGCGACGCCGCGUGAGUGAUGAAGGUCUCCGGAGCGUAAAACUCUGUUAUUAGGGAAGAACAAAUGUGUAAGUAACUAUGCACGUCUUGACGGUACCUAAUCAGAAAGCCACGGCUAACUACGUG
This 497-nucleotide ribosomal RNA is filed under the name uncultured bacterium. RNAcentral's name for it is "partial 16S ribosomal RNA". It matches the Rfam family "Bacterial small subunit ribosomal RNA", at positions 28 to 507 of the family's 1533-position model. The record is from RNAcentral.